Molecule: transfer RNA, 59 nt
Filed under: Phrynocephalus arabicus (Arabian toadhead agama)
Lineage: Eukaryota; Metazoa; Chordata; Lepidosauria; Squamata; Agamidae
Description: tRNA-Cys
Source: RNAcentral
GGCCUGAGUAAUGCUAAAUUGCAAGUUUAGUUUGGGAAACGUAAGUUUUCGUAGGUCUA